This 322-nucleotide long non-coding RNA is filed under the name Dromaius novaehollandiae (emu). RNAcentral describes it as "lncRNA (ENSDNVG00000005273.1)". The record is from RNAcentral. Lineage: Eukaryota; Metazoa; Chordata; Aves; Casuariiformes; Dromaiidae.
GAACAGAGAGAAAAAAAGAGUCAGGUUUUGUAAUGGCUUUGCUUGGAGUUUCAGUUGCAUGAACAGCAGGGCCUGGACUGAGGCUGCUGUGACUGCCUAGGGCGCCUCCUGACACAGGCUGGGUCCUGAUCCCAGCCUGCCAGAGCCCUCCUGGUGACUGGAAGAAUAGAGCAUCUGGACAUCAGGAAGAUAAGAAAGUUGGGAAGGCAGCUGGGUCUUCAGGAAAAAGCUUCUCUUCUUAGCAACCAAACCCCAUCACAUGAGGUUAGUAAAUAUUCCUUUUCUUUAGGUAUAUAACUGAUAAAUUGGACAUAUUAACAUC